CGGGUGAGUAACACGUAUCCAACCUGCCGUCUACUCUUGGACAGCCUUCUGAAAGGAAGAUUAAUACAAGAUGGCAUCAUGAGUCCGCAUGUUCACAUGAUUAAAGGUAUUCCGGCAGACGAUGGGGAUGCGUUCCAUUAGAUAGUAGGCGGGGUAACGGCCCACCUAGUCUUCGAUGGGUAGGGGUUCUGAGAGGAAGGUCCCCCACAUUGGAACUGAGACACGGUCCAA
Molecule: ribosomal RNA, 231 nt
Filed under: uncultured bacterium
Lineage: Bacteria
Description: partial 16S ribosomal RNA
Rfam family: Bacterial small subunit ribosomal RNA
Source: RNAcentral